CACGAAGCCGUAUGAGCUAAUUUCGUUAUUACAUAUGUGGCAUAAUAUUUACUGGAAAACUGAAUUAGGGGUGAGAGGCCCUCAAAAACGGUGAUAUCUUGACGUAAAUGAAAAAAAUUUAGUUUUAAGGUAAUUACAAAGUUAUAAGAUUUUGUAAAAAUUUUAAUUUAUAUUAGUGUAUAAUAUGGGUAUAAAAGCCUGUACUUUGAAAAUAAUAAUAUAAGGUUAUAAUGCUUAUUUCUAUUAGUUUACGGUCGAUAACUUUUAAAAGAAUCAUUAUGUUAGUAUAAGUACCUAUGAAGCAUUAAUAGUGAACUCGGCAAUAAAGCUUUCAACUGUUUAUCAAAAACAUAGCCACAUGAUGCACAUGUGGUGUAUUCUGCUCAAUGAUAUUUAAAUAGCCGCAGUACCCUGACUGUGCAAAGGUAGCGUAAUCAUUUGUCUUUUAAUUGGAGUCGUGUAUGAAUGAAUAAAUGGGGGCUUACUAUACCAUUAGUGUGAAUUGAAGUUACUUAAAAGGUGCAAAAACCUUUACAUAAAUAAUAGACGAGAAGACCCUAGAAAUUUGUAUGGUAGUUUUGUUGGGGCAACAUAAUAGAUAAACCUAUUAAAUGUACAUGAAAUUGGUUUGAUUGAGAAAAUUACUCUAGGGAUAACAGCAUAAUUCUGUGAGAGUUUGUGACCUCGAUGUUGGAUUAGGGAACUAUAGCUUAAAA
This 716-nucleotide ribosomal RNA is filed under the name Torresitrachia sp. 'clade wea'. RNAcentral describes it as "partial 16S ribosomal RNA". The stretch from base 326 to 483 matches the Rfam family "Archaeal large subunit ribosomal RNA", at positions 1882 to 2091 of the family's 2987-position model. The record is from RNAcentral. Lineage: Eukaryota; Metazoa; Mollusca; Gastropoda; Stylommatophora; Camaenidae.